This is a non-coding RNA of Phalacrocorax carbo (great cormorant), 590 nucleotides long. The record is from RefSeq and is a predicted model, not a curated record. NCBI's taxonomy places the organism in Eukaryota, Metazoa, Chordata, Aves, Suliformes, Phalacrocoracidae.
AAGAGUCUGUAAGGAGAGAAAGUCACGGGAGAGCGCUAUUUAAAAGGGGAGGCUAAGGAAAGUGUAAAUGGGCCCUUCUGAAUGAUACCUCCUCCGGAAGAAGCGUCGUCCCUCCUGUUGUCUUUCCAUCCAGCAAGCAACUGCGGAGCUACACGUUUGCUGCUGUCACACCAUGCCUACAUCAGGUCUUUUCCCUCGGCCCUGUCUAAACUCUUUGGGCUGCACAGCUCCUCCGCCCUGUGUUAAGCCAGCUCUGAUUUGUAUCCACCAAACCCAAAAUUGCAGCAUGUAGUUGUCAAAACCAGCAUUCAAAUCCACACUCACAAGAGACAAAGAGCGCACAGAACAUCCUACAGCAAUUCUGCCCGAAGAAGCACUCGCCUUCACUUUCCACGCUAACAGAGGAAGGACAGGAAAUAGCAUUUAUUUUUUGUGUUGAGCGAGACAUUUAAAAAUCUCAUUCAUUCCAAACCUAGAAGGAGAGUUACAAUUUUGAAUAUCUAACAAGGAGGGAACAAAAAUCAAAGUCUAAAGGAUUUUUCUGUACUGAAUGGACAGAGUGCAACAGAGCUUUUUUUUUUCUUUUUUUU